GGUUAAGCGACUAAGCGUACACGGUGGAUGCCCUGGCAGUCAGAGGCGAUGAAGGACGUGCUAAUCUGCGAUAAGCGUCGGUAAGGUGAUAUGAACCGUUAUAACCGGCGAUUUCCGAAUGGGGAAACCCAGUGUGAUUCGUCACACUAUCAUUAACUGAAUCCAUAGGUUAAUGAGGCGAACCGGGGGAACUGAAACAUCUAAGUACCCCGAGGAAAAGAAAUCAACCGAGAUUCCCCCAGUAGCGGCGAGCGAACGGGGAGCAGCCCAGAGCCUGAAUCAGUGUGUGUGUUAGUGGAAGCGUCUGGAAAGGCGCGCGAUACAGGGUGACAGCCCCGUACACAAAAAUGCACAUACUGUGAGCUCGAUGAGUAGGGCGGGACACGUGGUAUCCUGUCUGAAUAUGGGGGGACCAUCCUCCAAGGCUAAAUACUCCUGACUGACCGAUAGUGAACCAGUACCGUGAGGGAAAGGCGAAAAGAACCCCGGCGAGGGGAGUGAAAAAGAACCUGAAACCGUGUACGUACAAGCAGUGGGAGCCUCUUUAUGGGGUGACUGCGUACCUUUUGUAUAAUGGGUCAGCGACUUAUAUUCUGUAGCAAGGUUAACCGAAUAGGGGAGCCGAAGGGAAACCGAGUCUUAACUGGGCGUUAAGUUGCAGGGUAUAGACCCGAAACCCGGUGAUCUAGCCAUGGGCAGGUUGAAGGUUGGGUAACACUAACUGGAGGACCGAACCGACUAAUGUUGAAAAAUUAGCGGAUGACUUGUGGCUGGGGGUGAAAGGCCAAUCAAACCGGGAGAUAGCUGGUUCUCCCCGAAAGCUAUUUAGGUAGCGCCUCGUGAAUUCAUCUCCGGGGGUAGAGCACUGUUUCGGCAAGGGGGUCAUCCCGACUUACCAACCCGAUGCAAACUGCGAAUACCGGAGAAUGUUAUCACGGGAGACACACGGCGGGUGCUAACGUCCGUCGUGAAGAGGGAAACAACCCAGACCGCCAGCUAAGGUCCCAAAGUCAUGGUUAAGUGGGAAACGAUGUGGGAAGGCCCAGACAGCCAGGAUGUUGGCUUAGAAGCAGCCAUCAUUUAAAGAAAGCGUAAUAGCUCACUGGUCGAGUCGGCCUGCGCGGAAGAUGUAACGGGGCUAAACCAUGCACCGAAGCUG
RNAcentral lists this ribosomal RNA (1159 nucleotides) under Escherichia coli. RNAcentral describes it as "partial 23S ribosomal RNA". It matches the Rfam family "Bacterial large subunit ribosomal RNA", at positions 1 to 1202 of the family's 2925-position model. The record is from RNAcentral. Lineage: Bacteria; Pseudomonadati; Pseudomonadota; Gammaproteobacteria; Enterobacterales; Enterobacteriaceae.